GUUUAUUAUCUUUUUUUGCUUGUGUUUGCGUGUGGGACUAAUAUAACAAUUUAAGUUGUGCGCGAUAAGAUUCAUUAUCGUUGUACUCGUAUUUUUGUGAACGUUGAACGCAUUAGUGUUUUUAAUUCGUUUUUUUUUUUGUGUGUGGCAUUGAUGGGCAGUGUGGAAUAUUGGACUGUCCUUGUCCGUAGGCAUUAUUAGUUUAAUUUUGUGUGGAUGUGUUUGUUAGUUAUGUGGUAAUCAAGAGUGUAUUCAUCAAGUUUCUGUGAUUUUAAGGCAAAAAAGUGGGAAAACAGUUUUUUCUUGUUUAAUUUAAAAUUAAUGUUGGAAGCAUUUUUAAAUACGAGUACCAUGUGAUUUGUUGAUGAAUUAUUGUGAUUUAAUAUUUUGUAAUUUUGAGAUUUGGGAUUUUUUUAGAAUUAAUUUUUAAUUUUUUAUAUCUAGCUUUAUAAUAAAGAUGGUUAUUAUGUUUUAACUUUAUCGAUCCUUCAGAUUAUUGAUUAAUUGAAUUAAUAAAACUAUAAACAUAGCAAUAAUGUUUUCACAAUAUCCUGUGUAAUCUAAUAAAUAAUAUUUCAAAUUUAAACAACGCACCAAUAUAAUUUUGUAAACUGUAUAGUUUGGUUCACCUUCAAUAAAGAGCUCUAAAAAGUGUGAUAGUUUUAAGAAAACCGACAUAAGAAUCCUUGUAAAAUGAUAUUUUACAUUACUUUUUGGAUAUACUGGGCGUCCAUAUAUUUGGUGCAAAUCAAUGCUGAAUGUGACUUAAAAAUACGCGACGUGCCUGAUGGACGUGAACUCGACAAUGUAUUUGUAGUAUGUGGGAAUGAUGUACCAGCAAUGCCCAAAGAUCUUAUGGACGACGAAGAGGAUCCAUCCAAGACGAUGACAGUUUGCCAUUGUCAGGAAAUUAAUGAUAAUGUAUUCAAUCAAUUUAGCGACUUAAGAUUGUUGUCCCUGACAAAAAUGAAUUUAAAUAGUUUUAAUUUUUCUCUUGUCGCGAACAACCCUCGUUUGCGCACACUGAUUUUGGACCAUAAUCCAAUUGAUAAUUUGUUUAACGAUGCACAAAUUACAUUGGAGAAUUUGAGUCUAAGGAAUACUAGUUUGCGGAUGAUGCCUGAUGCAACGUUGGACAUUAUGAAACAUUUGAAAGUGUUAAAUAUUUCUGGGGAGUAUUUUCAUGCUAGUCACCAAGAAGUGUGUUCAAAAUUCGGUUCUUUGGAGAUGUUUAAUGGUAGACGUUGCAAUCGAGCAAUGUAUAGGAUACCUCCUAAGGAAUUGUUACAACAACGAAGUGACGACGAUUCAUCUGGGCAUCAAUGGAAACCUGUGAGCUGUGUGCUCCGGAUAAAAAAUACGCUAAUCUCGGUUUAUCAUAAACAAAUACAGAUAGAAAAUCUGUAAACAGUCUGUUGCGAUUAUCCCGGCAUUUUCAUGGGUGUGGUCCCUGUGGAAUGACGGUACAAACUCUCUUUGCCUUAUAUUGCAUUUUAAGCUUUCUGUUGCUUGUCAAUAGUCAGCAGCACAGAUGCGAUACAAAAAUGCAUGACGUGCCAGGUGGCAGAGAACUGCUUAAUGUGCUCGUAUGUGGAAAAGGUGAGCCACAGCUGCCGAAACAUCUUCAGCCAUUGGAUCGGGAUCCCACCAAGACGAUGAGAGUGUGCUGUUGCAAGGACUUUUGUGAUAAUGUCUUCCAUCAGUUUAGCGACCUAAGAUUAUUAUCACUAACACAAAUAAAUUUAACUCGAUUUGAUUUGUCUUUUAUAGCAAACAAUCCACGUUUGGAAACGUUGAUUUUGGAUAAUAAUCCAAUUGAGGAGUUGAUCAGUGAUGCGCAAAUUUCAUUGGAGACUUUAAGUUUAAAAAAUACCAUGUUGAAGAGUAUACCCAACACCACUCUGCAUAUUAUGAAACAUUUAAAAUAUCUAUAUAUUGAUGAUAAUUCUGAAGAUCAUAUUGAUCCGUGUGAAGAAUUGAAGUCCUUGGAAGCGUUUAAUGAGAAGCCUUGCUCGCAACGUCAAACUGUUGAAAUAAGGAAUAUUAAUGAAAAGUUAGAAAAUAAUGAAAAUACAAGAUUAUUACCUGCAAUCCAAGGAAUAUUAUUAAUAGUGUUAAUUCUAUUCUUGUAAAUUGUUUUCAUAAAAUAAUAAAAAGUAAAAUUGAAUUUUAAA
Long non-coding RNA from Dalotia coriaria, 2174 nucleotides. RefSeq lists it as uncharacterized. The record is from RefSeq and is a predicted model, not a curated record. The transcript has 3 exons. Lineage: Eukaryota; Metazoa; Arthropoda; Insecta; Coleoptera; Staphylinidae.